RNAcentral lists this ribosomal RNA (464 nucleotides) under uncultured bacterium. Its description in RNAcentral is "partial 16S ribosomal RNA". It matches the Rfam family "Bacterial small subunit ribosomal RNA", at positions 339 to 795 of the family's 1533-position model. The record is from RNAcentral.
CUACGGGGGGCUCCAGUGGGGAAUAUUGGACAAUGGGGGAAACCCUGAUCCAGCAAUGCCGCGUGUGUGAAGAAGGCCUGCGGGUUGUAAAGCACUUUCGGUUGGGAGGACUGCUUCUAGCACUAAUAUUGUUGGAAGUUGACGUUACCUUCAGAAGAAGCACCGGCUAACUCCGUGCCAGCAGCCGCGGAAUACGGAGGGUGCAAGCGUUAAUCGGAAUUACUGGGCGUAAAGCGCGCGUAGGCGGCUAGAUCAGUCGGGUGUGAAAGCCCCGGGCUUAACCUGGGAACUGCACCCGAUACUGUCUAGCUAGAGUACAGGAGAGGAGAGUGGAAUUCCACAUGUAGCGGUGAAAUGCGUAGAUAUGUGGAGGAACACCAAUGGCGAAGGCAGCUCUCUGGCCUGAUACUGACGCUGAGGUGCGAAAGCGUGGGGAGCAAACAGGAUUAGAUACCCCUGUAGUC